Molecule: ribosomal RNA, 468 nt
Filed under: uncultured bacterium
Lineage: Bacteria
Description: partial 16S ribosomal RNA
Rfam family: Bacterial small subunit ribosomal RNA
Source: RNAcentral
GACGAACGCUGGCGGCGUGCUUAACACAUGCCAGUCGAACGGAAAGGCCCUGCUUUUGUGGGGUGCUCGAGUGGCGAACGGGUGAGUAACACGUGAGUAACCUGCCCUUGACUUUGGGAUAACUUCAGGAAACUGGGGCUAAUACCGGAUAGGAGCUCCUGCUGCAUGGGGGGGGUUGGAAAGUUUCGGCGGUUGGGGAUGGACUCGCGGCUUAUCAGCUUGUUGGUGGGGUAGUGGCUUACCAAGGCUUUGACGGGUAGCCGGCCUGAGAGGGUGACCGGCCACAUUGGGACUGAGAUACGGCCCAGACUGCUACGGGAGGCAGAAGUGGGGAAUAUUGCACAAUGGGCGGAAGCCUGAUGAAGCAACGCCGCGUGCGGGAUGACGGCCUUCGGGUUGUAAACCGCUUUCGCAUGUGACGAAGCGUGAGUGACGGUAAUGGGUAAAGAAGCACCGGCUAACUACGUG